This 327-nucleotide ribosomal RNA is filed under the name uncultured eukaryote. RNAcentral describes it as "partial 18S ribosomal RNA". It matches the Rfam family "Eukaryotic small subunit ribosomal RNA", at positions 1470 to 1796 of the family's 1831-position model. The record is from RNAcentral.
CCCUUAGAUGUUCUGGGCCGCACGCGCGCUACACUGAUUCAUGCAACAAGUUUUGUCCUUGGCUGAUAGGCCUGGGUAAUCUUUGAACGUGAAUCGUGAUGGGGAUAGAUGAUUGCAAUUAUUCAUCUUCAACGAGGAAUUCCUAGUAAACGCAAGUCAUCAGCUUACAUUGAUUACGUCCCUGCCCUUUGUACACACCGCCCGUCGCACCUACCGAUUGAAUGGUCCGGUGAAAUCUUCGGAUCUGAGAGAUGUCUGAUUAAUUUCGGACGCCUUUUGGAAAAGUUGCUUAAACCUUACCAUUUAGAGGAAGGUGAAGUCGUAACA